UUAUUAAGAGCUUUAAGCAGUUUAAUUUCGACUUAAAUUAAGAAGAUUUUAUA
Molecule: transfer RNA, 53 nt
Filed under: Araneus angulatus
Lineage: Eukaryota; Metazoa; Arthropoda; Arachnida; Araneae; Araneidae
Description: tRNA-Arg
Source: RNAcentral